GACGAAGGGGGCUAGCGUUGUUCGGAAUUACUGGGCGUAAAGCGCGUGUAGGCGGCCAUCUAAGUCGGGCGUGAAAUCCCACGGCUCAACCGUGGAAGUGCACUCGAAACUGGAUGGCUAGAGUCCUGGAGAGGAAGGUGGAAUGCUUGGUGUAGAGGUGAAAUUCGUAGAUAUUAGGAAGAACACCAGUGGCGAAGGCGGCUCACUGGCCCGGUACUGACGCUGAGGCGCGAAAGCGUGGGGAGCAAACAGG
Molecule: ribosomal RNA, 253 nt
Filed under: uncultured bacterium
Lineage: Bacteria
Description: partial 16S ribosomal RNA
Rfam family: Bacterial small subunit ribosomal RNA
Source: RNAcentral